RNAcentral lists this ribosomal RNA (112 nucleotides) under Periophthalmus magnuspinnatus. Lineage: Eukaryota; Metazoa; Chordata; Actinopteri; Gobiiformes; Gobiidae. The record is from RNAcentral.
CACAGUAGCCAUACCAGCUUGCUAGAGCUUGUCAAAUUUCAAAAGCUAAGCAACACCAGGCCUGAUUCGUACUUGGAUGGGGGACAGCUAGGAAUACCAGAUGCCACAGUGG